GGCAAAGUUCUGUGACGCUCAGACUCUGUUAGCCAAGAAGUCAGUGCACUACAGAACUUUGUCUCCGGGGGCU
RNAcentral lists this microRNA precursor (73 nucleotides) under Notamacropus eugenii (tammar wallaby). Its description in RNAcentral is "miRNA (ENSMEUG00000017848.1)". It matches the Rfam family "mir-148/mir-152 microRNA precursor family". From Rfam's summary of the family: The hairpin precursors (represented here) are predicted based on base pairing and cross-species conservation -- their extents are not known. In this case the mature sequence is excised from the 3' arm of the hairpin. Lineage: Eukaryota; Metazoa; Chordata; Mammalia; Diprotodontia; Macropodidae. The record is from RNAcentral.